GCCCUAACCCCCAGUGUGAUUAUAUCUAGAGGUAGGUUCUCUAGGAAGUAAUUCAGAUUAAAUAAGGUCAUAAGGGUCAGGUUCUAAUCCAACAGGACUGUAGCCUUAAGAAGAAGAGGAAGAGGGAGAGAGAGAGAGCGAUCGAGAGAGAGAGAGAGAUCACUGCCAUGAGAGGACAUAGUGAGAAGGCGGCUGUCUGCAAGCCCGGAAGAGAGCACCGCAGGACCUUGAUCUGGGACUUCUAGCAUCCAGAACUGUGAGAAAAAAAUAUGAUGAUAAAAUCCAUUGACAAGAGCAUGGUGAAAGAGUUCUGGGAAAACAUACCUACAAAUGAGAAUACAACAAUUCUACAUGAAAUAUUAACAAUCUAAUAUGGCAUUAUAUUAAGAACCUAAAAGGACAAAUCAGGAUUCACUCAAGGAUACAAAGAUGGUUGGUACUGAAUAUUUUUUGUUGUCAUUUUUUAUACUUUUAGUGUCAUAUCAAAGAAUCUUUUGCCAAAUCCAAGAUCAUAAAGAUUUACUUCUAUAUUUUCUUUUAAGAGUUUUAUAUUUUAUUUAAGGUAUUUGAUCCAUUUUGUGUUAAUUUUUAUAUAUAGUGUGAGGAAAACAUCCAAAUUCCCUCUUUUGUAUAUGGUUAUUCAGUUGUCCUAGCACCAUUUGUUUAAAGGUUAUUUUUUUUCUUCAUUGAGUAGUGUGGCACUGUUGUAAAAAAAUCAACUGACUGUAAUAAAUGGGCUGCUUUGUAGACUCUUA
Gorilla gorilla gorilla (western lowland gorilla) is the source of this 755-nucleotide long non-coding RNA. RefSeq lists it as uncharacterized. Lineage: Eukaryota; Metazoa; Chordata; Mammalia; Primates; Hominidae. The record is from RefSeq and is a predicted model, not a curated record. The transcript has 2 exons.